RNAcentral lists this ribosomal RNA (253 nucleotides) under uncultured bacterium. RNAcentral's name for it is "partial 16S ribosomal RNA". It matches the Rfam family "Bacterial small subunit ribosomal RNA", at positions 524 to 776 of the family's 1533-position model. The record is from RNAcentral.
UACGUAGGGGGCUAGCGUUGUCCGGAUUUAUUGGGCGUAAAGAGCGUGUAGGCGGCCAAGUAGGUCCGGUGUGAAAACUCGAGGCUUAACCUCGAGAUGUCAUCGGAAACCAUUUGGCUAGAGUCCGGAAGAGGAAAGUGGAAUUCCUGGUGUAGCGGUGAAAUGCGCAGAUAUCAGGAGGAACACCGGUGGCGAAGGCGACAUCCUGGACCGGUAUUGACGCUGAGGCGCGAAAGCCAGGGGAGCAAACGGG